AGAGUUUGAUCCUGGCUCAGGACGAACGCUGGCGGCGCGCCUAACACAUGCAAGUCGAACGAGCGAGAGAGAGCUUGCUUUCUCGAGCGAGUGGCGAACGGGUGAGUAACGCGUGAGGAACCUGCCUCAAAGAGGGGGACAACAGUUGGAAACGACUGCUAAUACCGCAUAAGCCCACAGGUCGGCAUCGACCAGGGGGAAAAGGAGCAAUCCGCUUUGAGAUGGCCUCGCGUCCGAUUAGCUAGUUGGUGAGGUAAUGGCCCACAAGGCAACGAUCGGUAGCCGGACUGAGAGGUUGAACGGCCACAUUGGGACUGAGACACGGCCCAGACUCCGUAGGNGCA
This 344-nucleotide ribosomal RNA is filed under the name uncultured bacterium. RNAcentral's name for it is "bacterial SSU rRNA". It matches the Rfam family "Bacterial small subunit ribosomal RNA", at positions 8 to 353 of the family's 1533-position model. The record is from RNAcentral.